CCCCAUGGACUGCAGCCAACCAGGCUCCUUCGUCCAUGGGGAUUUUCCAGGCAAGAGUACUGGAGUGGGGUGCCAUUGCCUUCUCCUGGGAUGGCUCCUUAGUCUGCUCUUAAUCUUUCAAGACUGUGAUGCUUCUGAUUUCUUACAACACCUGAUCAUUUUAUAGAUACCACUCAAUUUUGGUUUUCCUGGUUUUUCUUCUGAUGAAAUAGAACAGAUGCAUUUUUUGGCAUGAAAAUCACAGAAGCAAUGUUGUGUCUGGCUCAGUUCAUAGUAUCAUGGAGUACAUGAUAUCAGUAUGUCUCAUUACUUGUGAUAUGGACCCUGGAUUCUUGGUACAUGUGGUGUCCUUUGAGUCUCUCCUUUGCAAAGUUACUUUUAGCCAAGGCUGAUUUUUCCUUAAACUUUCACCCACUGAUGCAGCAUCCAUUUCCGCAUCUUGCCUCCUACUGUUAUUACUGUGAAGUCUGCCUCAUGGUGCUUUGUAUUUCCUUCAUUCCUUCCACAUUUAUUAACUUAGAUCUUUCCCUAAGGAAGAGCUGCCAUUCUCCACCAUUUAAGUAUUUAAUUAUUCAUUGACAUUAGUAUGGACACACGCUAGUUUGUUUUAUUCAGUGGGUCAUGAUCCAGUCCCAUGACUAUCUUCUUUGUUACUCAGAUUGUUCCGUAUUUGGCCUCCUUGGUGAUGGUCUCCAGGUGAAGCUUAUAGAUGGUCACAGAGGAUCAUAUGAUCAAAUCACUGUUAUAUAUGAAAUAGAUAAUCAACAAGGACUAACUGUGUAGCACAGGGAAGUGUGCUCAAUAUUUUGUAAUUACCUAUAAGGGAAAAUAAUCUGAAAAUAAGUGUAUUUUGGCAACCUUGAGUUUUCCCAAGGUAGGCACUUUAAGGGGAGCUAGCGCCAUGGUAGGGAUGUUAGAAACUGUUUAAGUGUUGGUUCAGGUCUUUCUAAAAAGAAUGAGGCCUAGUGGAGAAGACGCAGAGCAGGAGCCUGCCUAGCCUUUGGAUGAAGAGAGGCUCUCUGCUCCAUACCCUCUGGCUCUUUGUCCCUUUGUUGGUGUUUUUGUUUGUUUGUUUGUUUGUCUUGUUCUGUUUUGGUCUAAUUGACAAAAAAAUAUGAUUUUAUUCUGCAGACACUACAUCUCUGAAGUUUCUCAAUCUGUUUUUAAGAACAUCUGUUUUGACACAAAGGUUUUUACCUCAUCCUCAGGCGGGCAGGUUAUGACCUGUGAGUGUGUGUCCACCACAGGGACCUCUGCAGCCGUGACUCCCAUCUGCUUUCCUGGUUGCAAUUGCACAUCCCCAUGGAUGACUUGUAUCUUCAGAGCAUUUCAGUGGGUACAGUGCAUUUGUCAAAGUGAUUGAAGAGACCAAAAAUUUUCCUCUAGGAAACAUCUUUGUAAAGCACUAUGUAAAUAUGGUGUUCUAUAGAUAAUUAAAAAUCUAUCAAUAUUUGUAAAUAUAUCUAGUGUAUAUAUGUUUGUAACAUGUGUAUAUAUGCCUGUGUAGUUGAUGUUGCUUGUGUGUGUUUAUCUGCUUCUGGGUUUUAUGUACUCUGUGUAUGUUUUCUUGUACAGUCACUUGCCUGAAUUAUAAAAGACACUUUAUACUUUGUUGUAAAUUUUAAAAGGCAGAUUAUUUUCCAAGCAAGGCAGAUUAUUUUCCAAGCAAGAUACAUUGUAAAAACUUUGUGGAGUCAUUUGGACUGCUAAAUUCUCUAAGUUCCUCUCUGUUCCAAAUUCACUUUAUGUAUAAAUAACAUGUAUUCCAAAGCCACCUUAUCACAGCCUCCUAGAUGUCUUACAAAUCCUAAUGCUGCAAGUAACUUUCAACAGUACCUGUAUAAAGGUACACAGGAUACGUUAAGUUUGGCAUUUAUUAAGUCCUACAUAGGUGUUAAUUAUUAUGCAUUUCACCUAAAUCCAAACUGAUUGGCUCAUCAGUAAUAUGUAGGCAAUAAUUUUCACACAUUUCAUGUAAAUAGAGAAACAUUAAUUACUUUACUACAAACAAAGCAUACAUUCCAAGAAUCUUUUCCAAAGCAAUUACCAAUCAAUUGGCAAAACAGGAUUGGGACUCUGAAGGUGUCCAUGACUUUGAUCAACAUUCUCUAUGUAUUAGAUGGAGUAGUUCUCAACAUCGGAAGAAAAUAAGUCAGCUGUGGUUGCCCAGCCCCCAGGUCACGUGAUUCUGGUUAAAUGCGAACAGGAGGAAUUUCAACUUUUAAUCAACGUCUCCUCCGAGCUGGUAGAAGAUGUCGUUAGAGUUGAUAGUUUGAGGACUGUUAGGCUCUUUGCUUGUUGUCCAGAGGAUGCAGUUGGGGAGGGCUGCUGGGAAAGGAGGUGGAUUUGUGCGUAAAAAGUGUUAAAAAAAAAAAAAAAAAAGGUGUGAAAGCGUAAAGAGUGGCAGCCAGAGGCGCAAGCAGACACAGGGAGAUGGAGGCGUCCAGAAGGUGGUGAAGGUGAGUCACCGUGGGAUAGCAAGGCUUUGCAUCAGGAAGAGCAGAGUUCAGAUCGACAUUUAAGUCUCCAAAUCCUGUCAAUGCUGCUCAGUGGAAAAACAGUUCCCAGUUGUGACCGACUCUUUGCGACCCCGUGGGCUGUAGCAUGCC
Long non-coding RNA from Bubalus bubalis (water buffalo), 2609 nucleotides. RefSeq lists it as uncharacterized. Lineage: Eukaryota; Metazoa; Chordata; Mammalia; Artiodactyla; Bovidae. The record is from RefSeq and is a predicted model, not a curated record. The transcript has 3 exons.